GAUUCAAGCCCGCUGCCUUCAUGUACCACAAACGUGUCCCAGUUUACACAGUGGACUUUUGUUUGAAAGGCUUUUGUUUAAAAAAAAAAAAAAAAAAAGACUAACACUAAUAACGCAUCCUUUAGGUUCUGUGGUGUACGGAAGCCAAGAGGUGCCAUGCUUAAAAGCAUCUUCAUGACAUCCACAGUGUGAACGAUUGCCACGUUCAUCCCUAAGUGAUUCUGAUGGGUUGGUGACCCGGUCACGCCGUAACCCUCUCCAUCUUGCCAAAGGACACCUGGAGUUCCCCCUGAACAAGCACGCACAGAUAAGCGGCGUGUUUACCAGGGGAUGGGUGAAGCGGGCAGGCACAUGC
This is a long non-coding RNA of Nematolebias whitei (Rio pearlfish), 355 nucleotides long. RefSeq lists it as uncharacterized. The transcript has 3 exons. The record is from RefSeq and is a predicted model, not a curated record. NCBI's taxonomy places the organism in Eukaryota, Metazoa, Chordata, Actinopteri, Cyprinodontiformes, Rivulidae.